CCGGCGGCCAUCAUUUCUUUCGCUCUCCUCUUAUUUUCUUAUUAACCAAACUGCGUGAGCACUGCUCAAUCGAAGCGGAUUACUCAAAGAGAGCGGACGCAUGGGCGAGCAAUUUAUUUAAAAAGCUGAGCGGACUAACACAAAAGCAAACGGAUUAACACAAAAACACACAAGGACUAACUUUAAAAUCAGUGCUCAAUCGAAGCGGACUACUCAAAGAGAACGGAUGCGUGGACGACUGAUUUAUUCAAAAAUCUGACCGAAGUAAACACGAAUUGAGACCAAAACACAAGGAUUUACAUUAAAAUCAGCCGAAGCGAACGGCUCGCUCACUCGGCGAAAAAAAGGAAAUGUUUAAUUUAAAGAAAAUAUCGUAAUAAUCUAAAUCUAAGAAAUACUGUUUAAGUAUUUACUAAUAAUCUUCUUUUUAUUCCAA
Molecule: long non-coding RNA, 436 nt
Organism: Drosophila subpulchrella
Lineage: Eukaryota; Metazoa; Arthropoda; Insecta; Diptera; Drosophilidae
Exons: 5
Source: RefSeq, a predicted model, not a curated record